CUGGCGGCGUGCCUAACACAUGCAAGUCGAACGGGGUGUCUGAUCUUCGGACUGGACACUUAGUGGCGGACGGGUGAGUAACGCGUGGGUAACCCGCCUCAUACAGGGGGAUAGCAGUUGGAAACGACUGAUAAUACCGCAUAAGCGCACAGUACCGCAUGGUACAGUGUGAAAAAACUCCGGUGGUAUGAGAUGGACCCGCGUCUGAUUAGCUUGUUGGCGGGGUAACGGCCCACCAAGGCGACGAUCAGUAGCCGGCCUGAGAGGGUGAACGGCCACAUUGGGACUGAGACACGGCCCAAACUCCUACGGGAGGCAGCAGUGGGGAAUAUUGCACAAUGGGGGGAAACCCUGAUGCAAGCGACGCCGCGUGAAGGAUGAAGUAUUUCGGUAUGUAAACUUCUAUCAGCAGGGAAGAUGAUGACGGUACCUGACUAAGAAGCCCCGGCUAACUACGUGCCAGCCGCGGC
This 470-nucleotide ribosomal RNA is filed under the name uncultured bacterium. Its description in RNAcentral is "bacterial SSU rRNA". It matches the Rfam family "Bacterial small subunit ribosomal RNA", at positions 36 to 518 of the family's 1533-position model. The record is from RNAcentral.